UUUCUCUCAGCUGUAAUUACAGCUCACUGUCACACUAGCUGAACUAGCUCAUCUUGCUGGAGGAGAAAUAUUAGAUGAACCUAUACAGUACCUUGUGCUUUUAUGCUCCACUUUUAUCCUCAUCCCUGAAGUUGUCUGACCUGUGGAAGUGCUGCUGAAACACUGCCGUAUUUCUUAAUGCAAGAUGGAAGCCAGAAAGGGUUACGAAUGUCUACAGAAAUCAGCUUUUGCAUCUCAACAUGGCACAAAAGCACCUGUUCUUUGCUGUUCAAGACACAGUUAAUAAACAUUAUUAUUAGGAUCAAGAACUGUUGUCAAAACAGCGUAAUGCGAUUCAGAUAUUUGGUGAACUUUGUCACAUCCAUUCCAACUAAGAGGAUUCCAGAUACUCCAGUGCAACGUCAUAGCAGAAGCGAUACUGCUCCUUUAAGGGAGAAAGGGAAAAAAGUAAUAAAGUUAAAUUGACGUUCUAAAUCAUUAAACAGCAGCAAUGACUACAAACAAGAAUAGCCUUUUCUGACUACUAAACAAUUUUAAAUUCAAGACUGACACACUUGGGUUGGUUUUCUUUUUUUUUUUUCCUCUUUUCACUUUUCUUCUUUCACCCCUCUAUUACACAAGUGUAUUAUCAGCUCUGACUUAUAAACAAACCAUAACCAACAAAAUAUAAAAAAUAAACCUGACCAUGAAAUGCA
Molecule: long non-coding RNA, 695 nt
Organism: Tympanuchus pallidicinctus (lesser prairie-chicken)
Lineage: Eukaryota; Metazoa; Chordata; Aves; Galliformes; Phasianidae
Exons: 3
Source: RefSeq, a predicted model, not a curated record